This is a non-coding RNA of Cinara cedri, 631 nucleotides long. Lineage: Eukaryota; Metazoa; Arthropoda; Insecta; Hemiptera; Aphididae. The record is from the annotation of a GenBank genome assembly.
AUAGAAGUAAUUUUGUUUUUGUAACAAGUUUAGAGUAUUUACCAAGUAAGAAUUGUAGUGAUUUACAUCUAGAGUUAAGGAGGAUUUUUUUCUUUCUUAUUUGGUUUGCCCAGGUUAAUAGUUGAUCUAGAAACAAGCCCAAAUAACUUGACCUCUAUGAUUUUUGAAAAUUAUGGUUGUGUAAAUUUAUAGGUGGUACAGUUCCACAGUGGUAAGUAAAAUAUAUGAUUACAUUGACUUUUUAAAUUUAUGUAAGCUAUUCAUUUGUGUUAAUUAUUUUGAUCUUUCCAUUGAUAAUUGUUUAGGGCUUCACCAGUUAUGACUAUAGACAUAAUUUCUUAUUUUAUAUAAUGUACAAUAUUAUUAUUAUUAAUAUAUAUUAUAUAUUAUUAUAUAUAUAUUAUUAAUUAACAUAAAUUCUUUUUUCUUUUGAUCAUUUUGAUUUUAGAUGUUUCAUACAUAGGCUUUCCGAAAAACAUCCAACAAAAAUUAUAAGGACGCAUUAGGAGCCUGGUUAAGACAGGCUAAUAAGCGCGUACCAAAUAAAAUUUUAUCAGAACAAGACAUUGCAUUUGUCUUUUAAAAGUGAUUUUUUUUUUUCAUUAUUUAGAUAUGUAAUUGUUUAAACAGC